Molecule: small RNA, 588 nt
Filed under: Pongo abelii (Sumatran orangutan)
Lineage: Eukaryota; Metazoa; Chordata; Mammalia; Primates; Hominidae
Description: processed transcript
Source: RNAcentral
AGGCAGUGGCCAGAGUGACCCCAACAGAGUGUCCAGGGACUCAGGCCUCUGAUCAAGUUACCCCCAGAGGAUCAGAGAGGGGUUGACGAAGGAGAAGCAUUCAGAGGGCACUGGCUUCUGGACAGCAAUGAGUUCCCGGGCCACACGGCCCCGAAGCCGGCGAGGGAGGCAUGCUCCACCCGACUGACAAGAAGGCGGAUGGGGGCUCUGGCAGGGGACUGGCCUCAGCCCCCAAAGUGCCCCACAAACCUGCAGUGGAAGCCCACCAGGCCCCAGAAGCAGCCCUACAGUACAAGGAGACUGUGCCCCCUGGGAAUGGGGCCCCCGAUGUGUUUCAGACCCUCCAGCACGCUCUGAGCUCCCUGGAGGCAGCAGCUGCAGCCUGGCGCCACCGGCCCCCCAGCCAUCCCGGGCCUAUGGAUUUGGAAGGCACAAGCGAAGGGGGACCAGGUCCCCUUGGGAAGCAGGAAGGGGCAGGGAGCUGCCAGCGAGAGGCAGCUCGCCUGGCCGAGAGGAAUGCCUGGCUCCGGCUGGCCCUGAGUAGCCGAGAGGAUGAGCUGGUCCACACGCAGGCCUCCCUGGAGGCCA